CUCUGAUUCUUAAGGUGGUCUGAACACUUCACGAGGAGGAAGACGUUCAGAUCAUAAAGCUAAAGGGCCGGUGACCGUCACAUUUGUUUUUACACGCACAUUUGAAUAGUCACAUCAUCCGAACAGGUGACUUCACGUGUAACAGUUGUUGUUGGCGUGUUAAGGUGAGUUUCCGGGUUCCACCGUAAGACGCAGACACGUUCCUCAGGGCUUCAGUCUGUAGUCACAAUCGUCUCGAGCGCAGACAGAUAUACAGACAGACAGACACUUUAUUAACAUGAAUUUAUCUGAAGCGAAAUCGGAAAUAAAAAAGCUGCUGAACGAAGUGAAGCCGAGUGACGUCAGCAGAUUGCUGACGUGGAUCCGGAGCUCAGACGAGUUUGACGACUUUCUGUCCAACAACCAGACGAAGAUUCUGCAGAACAUCGCUGAAGAUCUGAGAGGAAGUCUUCCUCUGGACGCCAUGUUGUCCUCUGAGAAUACUGCUUAUAACAAGAUGCAGCAGUGCUCUCGGCCCACGGUCCACGUUGACAGCUUCCUGUAUGAUGAAGACCAGGUGGACUCUCUGUGUGAGGAGGGAACCAUGAGUCGGUCCUACUGUCUCACCUGUGGAUCCCACAGAACUGCCCCUCUGGACUUCAUCUCUCACUCGUUCUCCAUCUCAGAGCUUCGGUUCCUGUUUGAGAACGUUCUUCCAGACCUGAACGGUCGGCUGCUGGUGGACGUGGGCUCCAGACUGGGAGCUGUCCUGUACGGGGGUUACGUGUUCAGUUCUUCCUCUCAGCUGAUUGGUUUAGAGAUCAGUGAGGAGUUUGUUAAACUGCAGAAAAACAUCCUGCAGAAAUACAAGAUGACGGAUCGAAUACAGGUUCUCCACACUGACGUCCUCCUGCAGAAUGUUCUGCUGCAGAAAGCAGACAUUCUCAUCAUGAACAACGUCUUUGAGUUUUUCAUGGAACUCAGUGAACAAGUCAGAGCGUGGAGGCUCAUCAUGGAGAACUUCAGGAAGAAAGGUUCUCUGCUGGUCUCUGUUCCCGGUCUACAGGAGAGUCUAAACAGUCUGCAGGUGAAGAACAGAGAGGAAGGUUAAAGUACAUGAAGUAUACAUUAACUUCAUGUACCUCCCUCCUCCUCCUCCUUCAUGUACACCCUCCUCCUCCAGUCGGUGAUGUCAUGAUAACGUGACAGGAAACGCUGCAGCCCGGCUGGGUGGAGGAGCUUCCUGUGGACCACAGCGUGUACCUGGACCAGGACUCAGACCCAGAGGCUCUGA
RNA transcript from Anarrhichthys ocellatus (wolf-eel), 1273 nucleotides. RefSeq lists it as uncharacterized. Lineage: Eukaryota; Metazoa; Chordata; Actinopteri; Perciformes; Anarhichadidae. The transcript has 8 exons. The record is from RefSeq and is a predicted model, not a curated record.